Hydra vulgaris (swiftwater hydra) is the source of this 1427-nucleotide non-coding RNA. Lineage: Eukaryota; Metazoa; Cnidaria; Hydrozoa; Anthoathecata; Hydridae. The record is from RefSeq and is a predicted model, not a curated record.
UGGAAAAACACUCAUAAUAUGAGUGUUUUUUAAUAACACAAAAGAUUGUUUUAUUGGUUGUGCACUUAUUGUUUUUAUCGAGAAACCAAGAUUCAUUUAAGUCUUUUACAAAAAGGGCAUACGAAAAGAGACGCAGUAGACGUGUCCAAAAAGAAUAUUAAAAAAUACUAGAAUUUUCAUCAGUACAUAUGGAAAAAAAAUCGAAUGUUGGUACUUCUAAAAGAAAUGAUUUCUUAUCUUGCGAAAAUCUAAAAGAAUAUUUUGACCAUCAUGAGUCAGCGAUUUUGUACAAUAAAUACUCUUAUGACCAAAAGCCUAAUGAGUAUAAGCAUAACCCAACUUUAAAGGAAAGUUUUUCUGCAUGUUUUUCUAACCAAGUAAUUAUGCACUAAACAAGUGGAUUGACAAAGAAUACCAACAAAUUUAUUGUCCCAAAAAAAAAUUAUAAUCAUGCACUGAAAAACAACCUUUUGUCAACAAAAGAAUGGCACAAAUUUCCAUUGAUAAAGUGUAAGAUAACAGAUAAUUCAUUUUCAUGUUGUGAAGAAUACAACUUUCUACAUCAGAUGAGAUAUAUGUUAAAGAAAGCAUUAAAAAUAAGAAUAAUAAAUCAUACCGCUCUUCAUUGCCAGAACCUCCGCCACCUAUUAUGAAUAAGCCCAAUGCUAAAAGUAUAACAUAAAUAUCAUAAUUUUUUCUUAAUGGUUUAUAAACUGAAAUAGAUUCUUGUUUAAUUUGAUCUGAAUAAUAUCUAUCUAGCUAUUAGUCUUUUUUAUCUAUUACUAAGAUUUUUCUUUUAUUUUAACUAUUUGGGUGUCCUAUUAUAUGUAAUGUUGUUAAGUUGGUUACAUAUAUUUAUAUCAUUGACAGCAUUUUAUUGUAUUAAAUAAUCCUUUAAUCAACUUGAUAUGAAAAUUGAAAACUGAUUGAAAGCAUGCUGAAGUUGUUUGAAUUCAGAAAUUGAAAGAGUACAAAAUUGGUUGAAAGAUUAAAUUAAGUAACAGAGAUGCAAAAUGUUAUUCUCAAGGAGCUUGCAGAAAUAAAAGUUCUUUUAAAAGAAGUUAUAGAAAUUAAGUUUCAGGCUACUGGGGUGAAGUUGCUAGAAUCGGUGGACGAAGUGGUUACACUGGAUAAUAAACUAAAAGAUAAAACCGAGUAUACUAAUUUGCUUGAUAGUUUAAAAAAGAUUGGUGGUGAAAAGCCAAGAGAACAUGUUUUUUUGAUCAUGUAAAGGUUAUUUUCGAAUCAGUUACAGUCCAAAUUAAAUCGAAAAGAAAAUGGGGAAAAGAUAAGCUUAGAAAAUCUAGUAAAUAUAUGGAGUAUUUACGAGAUAUCGGCGACGUAGAAGAAAAUAUUGACGGCAAUGCAGAAAUAUAGUUUCUUAUGUAUAUUUUUGUGAAAUAAAAAUUAAGUAAUGUUAGUUAAAA